CAUUGAUAUGGACAGCUGUUGAUGAAAAUGAUGGCUGGAGAGGGUUAAAUUUCUUUUUGUUAAGCCAGGUUAAUCUUGUAUAUUUUUCCCUCAGAAUAUUCUUUCGAGACCCUCUCCAUUCAUUACAGUUUCCUGGUUGCAGCAGGGAGAAAUAUUGGAUGAGACGUUUUUUUAAAAUGCAAAAUUUGUUUUUACUUUAAAUUGAAAUUUGGACAGCUACACAGGCCAUUAACAAAGUUUGUUCUCUCCUCAGAUUCAAGGUCGUGAAACGGAAGACUCCAAACCAGACCACCAUUGACAGAUUACCUGUUGGGAGUCUCGUGACCACCACUUUCAUCCCAUUUUACUUCACCUCAGUACCAUCCUCCGUGGUAAUCACCACAUUCUCCACACGUUUGACUGUCUUCAUCAUUCACAUUCAAGGUCGUGAAACGGAAGACUCCAAACCAGACCACCAUUGACAGAUUACCUGUUGGGAGUCUCGUGACCACCACUUUCAUCCCAUCUUACCUCACCUCAGUACCAUCCUCCGUGGUAAUCACCACAUUCUCCACACUUUUGACUGUCUCCAUCAUUCACAUACUGUACAUAUCAACAGUUGAUUGACGGUUGGAAGUUCCCAUCACACUUGUCAUCAAACCAGACAGCUUUCAACCAGAAUCUUCCAGGUGUAAAAAAAAAAAAGUCCUCGAUUUUCAGUACGGUAUAUGUUUUGCGUUCUUUGUAUAAAAGACUUCUAUACACUCCUUUCAUUUUCAGACGUCUUGUUGGACUGAAAUAUUUUUCACUUCCACUCAUUUCACCUCCCCUCUAAGAAGACAUUUCCCAUAAGCAAAAAAAUCAUUACAUGUUCAUUUUUCAUAAGAAUUUAUCACAGCUGUGAGCUCAUUUCAUCCAUUUCACCUCAUUUUUUCAUGAACGAUUCAUCCCAAUAACGCUUGAAAUAAGAUUUGAAACGAAUUGGAAAAGACUUGAAACGAAUUGGAAAAGACUUGGAACGAAUUGGAAAAGACUUGAACGAAUUGGAAAAGACUUGGAACGAAUAUUAAAUAACUGAUUACAAUUCCU
Strongylocentrotus purpuratus (purple sea urchin) is the source of this 1068-nucleotide long non-coding RNA. RefSeq lists it as uncharacterized. The transcript has 4 exons. The record is from RefSeq and is a predicted model, not a curated record. Lineage: Eukaryota; Metazoa; Echinodermata; Echinoidea; Camarodonta; Strongylocentrotidae.